RNAcentral lists this long non-coding RNA (412 nucleotides) under Citrus x clementina. RNAcentral's name for it is "Citrus clementina (C. clementina) long non-coding RNA (CCLE_LNC004687)". Lineage: Eukaryota; Viridiplantae; Streptophyta; Magnoliopsida; Sapindales; Rutaceae. The record is from RNAcentral.
CGCAGGUGCAUUGUCCAAGUCUCCUAUGCCAUUGGUGUGCCUGAGCCAUUGUCUGUUUUUGUGGACUCAUAUGGAACCGGCAAGAUUCCUGACAAGGAGAUCCUCAAAAUUGUGAAGGAAAGCUUUGAUUUCAGGCCAGGAAUGAUGACCAUCAAUUUGGAUCUCAAAAGGGGCGGUAAUGGCAGGUUCUUGAAGACUGCUGCCUAUGGACACUUUGGCAGGGAUGACCCAGACUUCACUUGGGAAGUUGUGAAGCCCCUCAAGUGGGAAAAGCCUCAAGCUUAAAUUUGAGUUGAAAAGUGAAAACUAUCCCUGCUGUUCAAGUUUGCUUCUAUUGGUAGUGGAUGAAUAAUUUGAAUAUUAUCUUGCUGCUGCUUUGUAAUACUAAGCAAAUCUCCUGUGUUCAGAACUC